This 440-nucleotide ribosomal RNA is filed under the name uncultured bacterium. RNAcentral describes it as "partial 16S ribosomal RNA". It matches the Rfam family "Bacterial small subunit ribosomal RNA", at positions 338 to 795 of the family's 1533-position model. The record is from RNAcentral.
CCUACGGGUGGCUGCAGUGGGGAAUAUUGCACAAUGGGGGAAACCCUGAUGCAGCGACGCCGCGUGAGCGAUGAAGUAUUUCGGUAUGUAAAGCUCUAUUAGUAGGGAAGUAAAUGACGGUACCUGACUAAGAAGCCCCGGCUAACUACGUGCCAGCAGCCGCGGUAAUACGGAGGGGGCAAGCGUUAUCCGGAUUUACUGGGUGUAAAGGGAGCGUAGACGGCUGUGCAAGCCAGAUGUGAAAGCCCGGGGCUCAACCCCGGGACUGCAUUUGAAACUGUGUGGCUGGAGUGUCGGAGAGGCAGGCGGAAUUCCUAGUGUAGCGGUGAAAUGCGUAGAUAUUAGGAGGAACACCAGUGGCGAAGGCGGCCUGCUGGACGAUGACUGACGUUGAGGCUCGAAAGCGUGGGGAGCAAACAGGAUUAGAUACCCUUGUAGUC